Molecule: ribosomal RNA, 458 nt
Filed under: uncultured Desulfobulbus sp.
Lineage: Bacteria; Pseudomonadati; Thermodesulfobacteriota; Desulfobulbia; Desulfobulbales; Desulfobulbaceae
Description: bacterial SSU rRNA
Rfam family: Bacterial small subunit ribosomal RNA
Source: RNAcentral
GCGGUGGAGUAUGUGGUUUAAUUCGAUGCAACGCGAAGAACCUUACCUGGUCUUGACAUCCCGGAGACCCUUAGGAAACUAGGGGUGCUUCCAUCUGGAAGAAUCUGGAGACAGGUGCUGCAUGGCUGUCGUCAGCUCGUGUCGUGAGAUGUUGGGUUAAGUCCCGCAACGAGCGCAACCCUUGCCUUUAGUUGCCAGCAGUUCGGCUGGGCACUCUAAAGGGACUGCCGGUGUUAAACCGGAGGAAGGUGGGGAUGACGUCAAGUCCUCAUGGCCUUUAUGACCAGGGCUACACACGUACUACAAUGGCCGAUACAAAGGGCAGCGACACUGCGAGGUGAAGCCAAUCCCGUAAAAUCGGUCUCAGUCCGGAUUGGAGUCUGCAACUCGACUCCAUGAAGUUGGAAUCGCUAGUAAUCGUGGAUCAGCAUGCCACGGUGAAUACGUUCCCGGGCCUU